GAUGAACGCUGGCGGCGUGCCUAAUACAUGCAAGUCGAGCGAACAGACGAGGAGCUUGCUCCUCUGACGUUAGCGGCGGACGGGUGAGUAACACGUGGAUAACCUACCUAUAAGACUGGGAUAACUUCGGGAAACCGGAGCUAAUACCGGAUAAUAUAUUGAACCGCAUGGUUCAAUAGUGAAAGACGGUUUUGCUGUCACUUAUAGAUGGAUCCGCGCCGCAUUAGCUAGUUGGUAAGGUAACGGCUUACCAAGGCGACGAUGCGUAGCCGACCUGAGAGGGUGAUCGGCCACACUGGAACUGAGACGCGGUCCAGACUCCUACGAGAGGCAGCAGUAGGGAAUCUUCCGCAAUGGGCGAAAGACUGACGGAGCAACGCCGCGUGAGUGAUGAAGGUCUUCGGAUCGUAAAACUCUGUUAUUAGGGAAGAACAAAUGUGUAAGUAACUAUGCACGGCUUGACGGUACCUAAUCAGAAAGCCACGGCUAACUACGUG
RNAcentral lists this ribosomal RNA (497 nucleotides) under uncultured bacterium. RNAcentral describes it as "partial 16S ribosomal RNA". It matches the Rfam family "Bacterial small subunit ribosomal RNA", at positions 28 to 507 of the family's 1533-position model. The record is from RNAcentral.